This 879-nucleotide ribosomal RNA is filed under the name uncultured bacterium. RNAcentral's name for it is "bacterial SSU rRNA". It matches the Rfam family "Bacterial small subunit ribosomal RNA", at positions 28 to 916 of the family's 1533-position model. The record is from RNAcentral.
GAUGAACGCUGGCGGCGUGCCUAAUACAUGCAAGUCGAACGAGGCCCUUUGUAUUCGUACGAAGGUGUCCUAGUGGCGAACGGGUGAGUAACACGUAGGUGACCUGCCCCGAAGCGGGGGACAACUCCGGGAAACUGGAGCUAAUACCCCAUGUUCUCCAUGGUGUUAGAGGACCAUGGAGCAAAGGAGCAAUCCACUUUGGGAGGGGCCUGCGGCCCAUCAGCUAGUUGGUAGGGUAAUGGCCUACCAAGGCUAUGACGGGUAGGGGACCUGAGAGGGUGGUCCCCCACACUGGAACUGAAACACGGACCAGACACCUACGGGUGGCAGCAGUAGGGAAUAUUGCACAAUGGGCGAAAGCCUGAUGCAGCAACGCCGCGUGCGCGAUGAAGGCCUUCGGGUUGUAAAGCGCUUUUCUGGGGGAAGAGGAGGGACGGUACCCCAGGAAUAAGUCUCGGCUAACUACGUGCCAGCAGCCGCGGUAAAACGUAGGAGGCGAGCGUUAUCCGGAUUUACUGGGCGUAAAGCGCGUGUAGGCGGUUAGGUAAGUCGGACGUGAAAGCUCCCGGCUCAACUGGGAGAGGCCGUUCGAAACUACCUGACUUGAGGGCAGUAGAGGGAGGUGGAAUUCCGGGUGUAGCGGUGAAAUGCGUAGAUAUCCGGAGGAACACCAGUGGCGAAGGCGGCCUCCUGGGCUGACCCUGACGCUCAGACGCGAAAGCUAGGGUAGCAAACGGGAUUAGACACCCCGGUAGUCCUAGCUGUAAACGAUGCAGACUUGGUGUUGGCAGUUUAAACACUGUCAGUGCCGUAGCUAACGCGAUAAGUCUGCCGCCUGGGGACUACGACCGCAAGGUUAAAACUCAAAGGAAUUGACGG